AUUCAGCUGAAGAGUCCCAAAUAGAACAAAGUGUGUGUCCUGUAU
This is a non-coding RNA of Schistosoma mattheei, 45 nucleotides long. NCBI's taxonomy places the organism in Eukaryota, Metazoa, Platyhelminthes, Trematoda, Strigeidida, Schistosomatidae. The record is from Rfam.